GCGCGCCUUCGGGUGAGCGGCGGACGGGUUAGUACGCGUGGGAACGUGCCCUUCUCUACGGAAUAGCCUCUGGAAACGGAGAGUAAUACCGUAUACGCCCUUUGGGGGAAAGAUAGAUCGGAGAAGGAUCGGCCCGCGUUAGAUUAGGUAGUUGGUGGGGUAACGGCCUACCAAGCCUACGAUCUAUAGCUGGUUUUAAAGGAUGAUCAGCAACACUGGGACUGAGACACGGCCCAGACUCCUACGGGAGGCAGCAGUGGGGAAUCUUAGACAAUGGGGGCAACCCUGAUCUAGCCAUGCCGCGUGAGUGAUGAAGGCCUUAGGGUCGUAAAGCUCUUUUCGCCUGUGAUGAUAAUGACAG
This 361-nucleotide ribosomal RNA is filed under the name uncultured Alphaproteobacteria bacterium. Its description in RNAcentral is "bacterial SSU rRNA". It matches the Rfam family "Bacterial small subunit ribosomal RNA", at positions 66 to 457 of the family's 1533-position model. The record is from RNAcentral. Lineage: Bacteria; Pseudomonadati; Pseudomonadota; Alphaproteobacteria.